CCGCCAGAAACGGUUAGUCCAUGGCUCCCACUCGGUCAGUCCACUCGGGCAGUCUAGGGCUCCAGGGAAAGCAAGCAACCCUAAGCGCCAAUUUCCAAAAGUACCCCUAACUAGACAAGGUCGACCUGAAUGCACAGAGAGGUAAUUUUGGAAAAACUCAAAACUAGGCUCAAAAGAUUCAUCUUGUCAAUUUCGAACACACUGUGUAAUUAGUUUUUAUUUUUGUCUGUAUUGUAUAGUCCAUGUAUGCGUCUAAAGAUUCGAUGUGAUGGAGAAUCUUGAAAAAUUUUGAGGUUUUGGGUGGAAGUAAACAAGGCCCGGUUCGCAUGGGACCGCCCGGUUCACCGGUUCGAUGAAAAGUCGGCUGGUUCAACCGGUUUAUAGCGGUUCGAUUGCACACGCGAUCUUUUAAGUGAAGCGAACCUGGUAGACUCUGGUACGGUCCUUUAGCGGUCGAACCACGGUCCGGUUUGGUCCCAAUAAGUAUGGUAUGUACUCCAGGGCAAAGGUCUUGUGUUCCAUUCGUUCUUAUAACAUUUUUUUUGCUUUUUUUCCAAAAAAUAGUUUCUUGCUUUUUUAAACUUUCCAAAUUAUUUUUUUGCUUUUAUAUUUUUGUAGUUUUUCCCUCCCAUAUAAAACCUAUUUCAACCUGUUCAUUUGUACUAUAGCUGCUACAUUUACUAUGACUACUAGUUACUUGCGCUUGUACUAUAUAUACUACCACCAAGGUUGUGUUUGUUUCCGUGUUCGCGAUGCUUAUAUUCGACCGACCCGAACUAAUUUUAAAAUGAUGAUUAAAAUGCAUAGUAAAAACUAACUUGCAAUUUAUAUUUACUCCAUAAAAGAGAAUGAUGGUACAACUGAAGAACUAUAAGAAAAAUAAAACAACUAUUAUAAUUAUAAAUAAAAGAUAAUGACUGAACUAACUGUAAAAAGUUCGGUUAGUGUAGACUCGUGACCGAACUAGGAACUGAAAACUUCGGUCUCAGACUCGAUUAGUUCCGGUAGCUCAAUUAUGUCAUACAAAUGGCUAAUUACUUGUGUAGACUCGUGACCGAACUAGUAACU
Molecule: long non-coding RNA, 1068 nt
Filed under: Sorghum bicolor (sorghum)
Lineage: Eukaryota; Viridiplantae; Streptophyta; Magnoliopsida; Poales; Poaceae
Description: long non-coding RNA (SBIC_LNC014072)
Source: RNAcentral